AGUGAACGCUGGCGGUAGGCCUAACACAUGCAAGUCGAACGGCAGCACAGUAAGAGCUUGCUCUUACGGGUGGCGAGUGGCGGACGGGUGAGGAAUACAUCGGAAUCUACUUUUUCGUGGGGGAUAACGUAGGGAAACUUACGCUAAUACCGCAUACGACCUACGGGUGAAAGCAGGGGAUCUUCGGACCUUGCGCGAUUGAAUGAGCCGAUGUCGGAUUAGCUAGUUGGCGGGGUAAAGGCCCACCAAGGCGACGAUCCGUAGCUGGUCUGAGGGGAUGAUAAGCGACAUUGGAACUGAGACAGCGUCCAGACUACUACGGGAGGCAGCAGUGGGGAAUAUUGGACAAUGGGCGCAAGCCUGGUCCAGCCAUACCGCGUGGGUGAAGACGGCGUUCGGGUUGUAAAGACCUUUUGUGGGGAAAGAAAAGCAGCAGGUUAAUACCCCGCUGUUCUGACGGUACCCAAAGAAUAAGCACCGGCUAACUUCGUG
This 492-nucleotide ribosomal RNA is filed under the name uncultured bacterium. Its description in RNAcentral is "partial 16S ribosomal RNA". It matches the Rfam family "Bacterial small subunit ribosomal RNA", at positions 29 to 507 of the family's 1533-position model. The record is from RNAcentral.